UUAUCGGAGAGUUUGAUCCUGGCUCAGGAUAAACGCUGGCGGCGUGCAUGAGACAUGCAAGUCGAACGGGUGACUCGGGCUUGCUCGAGUCACUAGUGGCGGACGGCUGAGUAACGCGUAGGUGACCUGCCCCGAAGUGGGGAAUAACUGCCCGAAAGGGUGGCUAAUACCGCAUGUGGUGGUUCGUUCGGUCGGACCACUAAAGCAGUAAUGCGCUUCGGGAGGGGCCUGCGUCCGAUUAGCUCGUUGGUGGGGUAACGGCUCACCAAGGCGACGAUCGGUAGGUGGUCUGAGAGGACGAUCACCCAGACUGGGACUGAGACACGGCCCAGACUC
RNAcentral lists this ribosomal RNA (336 nucleotides) under Actinomycetota bacterium. RNAcentral's name for it is "bacterial SSU rRNA". It matches the Rfam family "Bacterial small subunit ribosomal RNA", at positions 1 to 338 of the family's 1533-position model. Lineage: Bacteria; Bacillati; Actinomycetota. The record is from RNAcentral.